This 102-nucleotide transfer RNA is filed under the name Penicillium decumbens. It matches the Rfam family "tRNA". Rfam says of the family: Transfer RNA (tRNA) molecules are approximately 80 nucleotides in length. Their secondary structure includes four short double-helical elements and three loops (D, anti-codon, and T loops). Lineage: Eukaryota; Fungi; Ascomycota; Eurotiomycetes; Eurotiales; Aspergillaceae. The record is from Rfam by way of RNAcentral.
GGCAAGAUGGCCGAGUUGGUCCAAGGCGUACGGUUCAGGUUCACCUGAUCCAGAUUUCCGUAUCUCGUUUUCGGGGCGUGGGUUCAAAUCCCACUCUUGUCA